ACGUUAUUAGUAUAAUUAAAUAUUUUACUUUUCCAAAGUAAGGAUCUAAGUUUUAUUAGCUAACGUA
This 67-nucleotide transfer RNA is filed under the name Potamotrygonocestus sp. MZUSP 7996. RNAcentral describes it as "tRNA-Gly". The record is from RNAcentral. Lineage: Eukaryota; Metazoa; Platyhelminthes; Cestoda; Tetraphyllidea; Onchobothriidae.